GGCUCCUGAGCUUUCACUAUAGGCAUGUCAGAUGGAAUUGGGUAUCAGUCAACAGGUCGCAAAAAAGGACUGGUGGGAAUGGAGGGUUAACGGGCCAAAAC
Erigeron canadensis is the source of this 101-nucleotide long non-coding RNA. RefSeq lists it as uncharacterized. The record is from RefSeq and is a predicted model, not a curated record. NCBI's taxonomy places the organism in Eukaryota, Viridiplantae, Streptophyta, Magnoliopsida, Asterales, Asteraceae. The transcript is spliced from 3 exons.